This is a long non-coding RNA of Patiria miniata (bat star), 880 nucleotides long. RefSeq lists it as uncharacterized. The transcript is spliced from 5 exons. The record is from RefSeq and is a predicted model, not a curated record. Lineage: Eukaryota; Metazoa; Echinodermata; Asteroidea; Valvatida; Asterinidae.
GUAGUAUUUUUAAGUCAGUGUCGAAUGUACUAGAAAAAUGGUCCCGCGCUCGCAUCGUGUCACCGCGUACCAGCUAGCUGCGAUGGUUCCCACACACACUCAUCGCCAUCGCGAUGUAAUGGAGUGCUCUACCCGGUACCCGCCAUACAAAUGUACUGUUGGAGAACCAGCUGAGACGACGUUGCACAUUAUAUGCAUGCAAGAAGCGCGGUGAAUUAAAUUGUGAAAGUGGAUUGUUCGAUGGUGAUGCGAUGUCUGAUAAUUAUCUUGUCAUAUCAAACACAUCCUUUGAGCGCCUUCACAACAAAAUCAGAGCCUUCAUGUCAAAUUAGACAUGAUUUUGGACAACCAAAAAGAGGAGUUGUGCCUCUUGAGGAAAGUGGCCAGGCUCCGAGCUCCUGAUGAUGAGGACAUCGAAGAAUUUACUCCAAAACCUCUGGAAACUGUCGCAGAACUGGAGGACCUAUGUGAAAAGCUGAAUUCUCCUGAAGAGGCCAACUUGAAAUAACAGAUGAUUUGUCACUUUACUUCCAUGGGAGGCUACAACCUUGGCGAGAGUGUCUGCCGCAUGCUACGCAGGCUAGGGACAAAUAUGCUGUGGUCCCUUUACAGCUACAAGGGACGAAAGGGGAAAAGAGCUCUGAGCGAUCUUCAAAUCUCCCGGGUGUUAAUCAAAGCCUGUCUGAGUGCCCACCCAUAAAGCCGAGUCUUGGAAAUUGAAGAAACCAUCCAAGAGACUCUCAAGUACUGCCCAAACCGAAAGGGUGGGGCAAAGUACAAGAAUCCUGAUGCCAACACGAUCGCAACACCAGAUGAGGCCACCACCGACUUUGAUGACUAGCCCAACUGAAAAUGAUUGGUAACAACACCCCCCCCCCCC